CCUACGGGAGGCAGCAGUGAGGAAUAUUGGUCAAUGGGCGAGAGCCUGAACCAGCCAAGUCGCGUGAAGGAUGAAGGAUCUAUGGUUUGUAAACUUCUUUUAUAUGGGAAUAAAGUGAGGAACGUGUUCCUUUUUGUAUGUACCAUAUGAAUAAGCAUCGGCUAACUCCGUGCCAGCAGCCGCGGUAAUACGGAGGAUGCGAGCGUUAUCCGGAUUUAUUGGGUUUAAAGGGUGCGUAGGUGGUUAGUUAAGUCAGUUGUGAAAGUUUGCGGCUCAACCGUAAAAUUGCAGUUGAAACUGGCAGUCUAGAGUACAGUAGAGGUGGGCGGAAGGCGUGGUGUAGCGGUGAAAUGCUUAGAUAUCACGAAGAACUCCGAUUGCGAAGGCAGCUCACUGGACUGAAACUGACGCUGAUGCUCGAAAGUGUGGGUAUCGAACAGGAUUAGAUACCCCAGUAGUC
RNAcentral lists this ribosomal RNA (460 nucleotides) under uncultured bacterium. RNAcentral's name for it is "partial 16S ribosomal RNA". It matches the Rfam family "Bacterial small subunit ribosomal RNA", at positions 338 to 795 of the family's 1533-position model. The record is from RNAcentral.